RNAcentral lists this unclassified non-coding RNA (860 nucleotides) under Cosmospora lavitskiae. RNAcentral's name for it is "sequence contains 28S rRNA gene". It matches the Rfam family "Eukaryotic large subunit ribosomal RNA", at positions 51 to 943 of the family's 3401-position model. Lineage: Eukaryota; Fungi; Ascomycota; Sordariomycetes; Hypocreales; Nectriaceae. The record is from RNAcentral.
CGGAGGAAAAGAAACCAACAGGGAUUGCCCUAGUAACGGCGAGUGAAGCGGCAACAGCUCAAAUUUGAAAUCUGGCCUUCGGGUCCGAGUUGUAAUUUGUAGAGGAUGCUUUUGGUGCGGUGCCUUCCGAGUUCCCUGGAACGGGACGCCAUAGAGGGUGAGAGCCCCGUCUGGUUGGACACCAAUCCUCUGUAAAGCUCCUUCGACGAGUCGAGUAGUUUGGGAAUGCUGCUCUAAAUGGGAGGUAUAUGUCUUCUAAAGCUAAAUACCGGCCAGAGACCGAUAGCGCACAAGUAGAGUGAUCGAAAGAUGAAAAGCACUUUGAAAAGAGGGUUAAAUAGUACGUGAAAUUGUUGAAAGGGAAGCGCUUAUGACCAGACUUGAGCCCGGUUAAUCAUCCAGCCUUCUGGCUGGUGCACUUGGCCGGCUCAGGCCAGCAUCAGUUCGGCGCGGGGGAUAAAGGCUUCGGGAAUGUGGCUCCUCCGGGAGUGUUAUAGCCCGUUGUGUAAUACCCUGUACUGGACUGAGGUUCGCGCAUCUGCAAGGAUGCUGGCGUAAUGGUCAUCAGCGACCCGUCUUGAAACACGGACCAAGGAGUCGUCUUCGUAUGCGAGUGUUCGGGUGUCAAACCCCUACGCGUAAUGAAAGUGAACGCAGGUGAGAGCUUCGGCGCAUCAUCGACCGAUCCUGAUGUUCUCGGAUGGAUUUGAGUAAGAGCAUACGGAGCCGGACCCGAAAGAAGGUGAACUAUGCCUGUAUAGGGUGAAGCCAGAGGAAACUCUGGUGGAGGCUCGCAGCGGUUCUGACGUGCAAAUCGAUCGUCAAAUAUGGGCAUGGGGGCGAAAGACUAAUCGAACUUC